Molecule: ribosomal RNA, 468 nt
Filed under: uncultured bacterium
Lineage: Bacteria
Description: partial 16S ribosomal RNA
Rfam family: Bacterial small subunit ribosomal RNA
Source: RNAcentral
GACGAACGCUGGCGGCGUGCUUAACACAUGCAAGUCGAACGGAAAGGCCCUGCUUUUGUGCGGUGCUCGAGUGGGGAACGGGUGAGUAACACGUGAGUAACCUGCCCUUGACUUUGGUAUAACUUCAGGUAACUGGGGCUAAUACCGGAUAGGAGCUCCUGCUCCAUGGUGGGCGUUGGAAAGUUUCGGCGGUUGGGGAUGGACUCGCGGCUUAUCAGCUUGGUGGUGGGGUAGUGGCUUACCAAGGCUUUGACGGGUAGCCGGCCUGAGAGGGUGACCGGCCACAUUGGGACUGAGAUACGGCCCAGACUCCUACGGGAGGCAGCAGUGGGGAAUAUUGCACAAUGGGCGGAAGCCUGAUGCAGCAACGCCGCGUGCGGGAUGACGGCCUUCGGGUUGUAAACCGCUUUCGCCUGUGACGAAGCGUGAGUGACGGUAAUGGGUAAAGAAGCACCGGCUAACUACGUG